CUAAUGUCCAUGAAGGAGAAAAGUAGGUCAGACCCAGUCUCACAGGGAGGAAACGUCAGCGACUGAGAGCGUUUCCAGUUAUGGCUGAUUGAAGUUCUCUCCGGAGAUGCCGACUGAACUGACAGUAGGUUAGGCCGUAGUUCCCACGUUACAGGGAAGGGGGUAUCGGACAUUGUUCCCGUACUCUGCACAGAGGGGGUCUCGUUGAACGGGAUCAACUAGGGUGGUAACGCGGUAGCCUUGAGCUUCUCGUCCCUAAA
RNAcentral lists this non-coding RNA (260 nucleotides) under Desulforamulus hydrothermalis. RNAcentral describes it as "Desulfotomaculum hydrothermale T-box sequence". It matches the Rfam family "T-box leader". From Rfam's summary of the family: Uncharged tRNA acts as the effector for transcription antitermination of genes in the T-box leader family. T-boxes are found upstream of many aminoacyl-tRNA synthetase genes and some amino acid biosynthetic genes usually in Gram-positive bacteria. The record is from RNAcentral. Lineage: Bacteria; Bacillati; Bacillota; Clostridia; Eubacteriales; Peptococcaceae. RNAcentral also lists the same sequence under 1 other name.